AGCGUAGACGGCGACGCAAGUCUGAAGUGAAAUACCCGGGCUCAACCUGGGAACUGCUUUGGAAACUGUGUUGCUAGAGUGCUGGAGAGGUAAGCGGAAUUCCUAGUGUAGCGGUGAAAUGCGUAGAUAUUAGGAAGAACACCAGUGGCGAAGGCGGCUUACUGGACAGUAACUGACGUUGAGGCUCGAAAGCGUGGGGAGCAAACA
Molecule: ribosomal RNA, 207 nt
Filed under: uncultured bacterium
Lineage: Bacteria
Description: partial 16S ribosomal RNA
Rfam family: Bacterial small subunit ribosomal RNA
Source: RNAcentral